RNAcentral lists this ribosomal RNA (492 nucleotides) under uncultured bacterium. Its description in RNAcentral is "partial 16S ribosomal RNA". It matches the Rfam family "Bacterial small subunit ribosomal RNA", at positions 29 to 507 of the family's 1533-position model. The record is from RNAcentral.
AGUGAACGCUGGCGGUAGGCCUAACACAUGCAAGUCGAACGGCAGCACAGUAAGAGCUUGCUCUUACGGGUGGCGAGUGGCGGACGGGUGAGGAAUACAUCGGCAUCUACUUUUUCGUGGGGGAUAACGUAGGGAAACUUACGCUAAUACCGCAUAUGACCUACGGGUGAAAGCAGGGGAUCUUCGGACCUUGCGCGAUUGAAUGAGCUGAUGUCGGAUUAGCUAGUUGGCAGGGUAAAGGCCCACCAAGGCGACGAUCCGUAGCUGGUCUGAGAGGAUGAUCAGCCACACUGGAACUGAGACACGGUCCAGACUCCUACGGGAGGCAGCAGUGGGGAAUAUUGGACAAUGGGCGCAAGCCUGAUCCAGCCAUGCCGCGUGGGUGAAGAAGGCCUUCGGGUUGUAAAGCCCUUUUGUUGGGAAAGAAAAGCAGCAGGUUAAUACCCCGCUGUUCUGACGGUACCUAAUGAAUAAGCAGCGGCUAACUUCGUG